Molecule: ribosomal RNA, 460 nt
Filed under: uncultured bacterium
Lineage: Bacteria
Description: partial 16S ribosomal RNA
Rfam family: Bacterial small subunit ribosomal RNA
Source: RNAcentral
CCUACGGGGGGCAGCAGUGAGGAAUAUUGGUCAAUGGACGAGAGUCUGAACCAGCCAAGUAGCGUGAAGGAUGACUGCCCUAUGGGUUGUAAACUUCUUUUAUACGGGAAUAACGCGCCUUACGUGUAGGGCUUUGCAUGUACCGUAUGAAUAAGGACCGGCUAAUUCCGUGCCAGCAGCCGCGGUAAUACGGAAGGUCCGGGCGUUAUCCGGAUUUAUUGGGUUUAAAGGGAGCGUAGGCCGCAUGUCAAGCGUGCUGUGAAAUGUCCGGGCUCAACCCGGGCCUUGCAGCGCAAACUGGCGUGCUUGAGUCCGCGGAAAGCAGGCGGAAUUCGUGGUGUAGCGGUGAAAUGCUUAGAUAUGACGAAGAACCCCGAUUGCGAAGGCAGCUUGCUGCAGCGGAACUGACGCUGAUGCACGAAAGCGCGGGUAUCGAACAGGAUUAGAUACCCGGGUAGUC